UUUGAUUCUGGCUCAGGACGAACGCUGGCGGCGCGCCUAACACAUGCAAGUCGAACGGAGCUUAAAGAAGCUUGCUUUUUUAAGCUUAGUGGCGGACGGGUGAGUAACACGUGAGCAACCUGCCUUUCAGAGGGGGAUAACGUUUGGAAACGAACGCUAAUACCGCAUAACAUUGCUUUGAGGCAUCUUAAGGCAAUCAAAGGAGUAAUCCGCUGAAAGAUGGGCUCGCGUCCGAUUAGAUAGUUGGCGAGGGUAACGGCCCACCAAGUCGACGAUCGGUAGCCGGACUGAGAGGUUGAACGGCCACAUUGGGACUGAGACACGGCCCAGACUCCUACGGGAGGCAGCAGUGGGGAAUAUUGCUCAAUGGGGGGAACCCUGAUGCAGCGACGCCGCGUGAGGGAAGAAGGUUUUCGGAUUGUAAACCUCUGUCUUUGGCGAGGAAAGAUGACGGUAGCCAAAGAGGAAGCUACGGCUAACUACGUGCCAGCAGCCGCGGUAAUACGUAGGUGGCAAGCGUUGUCCGGAAUUACUGGGUGUAAAGGGAGCGUAGGCGGGAAGACAAGUUGAAUGUUUAAACUAUCGGCUCAACCGAUAAUCGCGCUCAAAACUGUAUUUCUUGAGUGAAGUAGAGGCAGGCGGAAUUCCUAGUGUAGCGGUGAAAUGCGUAGAUAUUAGGAGGAACACCAGUGGCGAAGGCGGCCUGCUGGGCUUUAACUGACGCUGAGGCUCGAAAGCGUGGGUAGCAAACAGGAUUAGAUACCCUGGUAGUCCACGCUGUAAACGAUGAUUACUAGGUGUGGGGGGACUGACCCCUUCCGUGCCGCAGUCAACACAAUAAGUAAUCCACCUGGGGAGUACGGCCGCAAGGUUGCAACUCAAAUGAAUUGACGGA
RNAcentral lists this ribosomal RNA (895 nucleotides) under uncultured Bacillota bacterium. RNAcentral describes it as "bacterial SSU rRNA". It matches the Rfam family "Bacterial small subunit ribosomal RNA", at positions 12 to 917 of the family's 1533-position model. The record is from RNAcentral. Lineage: Bacteria; Bacillati; Bacillota.